AUGCUAAGCACUAGGGAAACCAACCUGAAAAGAAAGAGGAAGGAAGGAAGGCAGGAAGGAAGGAGGGAGGGAGGAAGCAGGAAGGAAGGAGGGAAGGAGGGAAGGAAGGAAGGAAGGAAGGAGGAAGGAAGGAAGGAAGGAGGAAGGAAGGAAGGAGGAAGGAAGGAAGGAAGGAGGAAGGAAGGAAGGAGGGAGGGAGGGGGGAAGGAAGGAAGGAAGGAAGGAAGGAAGGAGGAAGGAAGGAAGGAAGAAGGAAGGAAGGAGGGAGGGAGGAGGGAGGGAGGAGGGAGGAGGAGGGAGGAAGGAAGGAGGAAGGAAGGAAGGAAGGAAGGAGGGAGGGAGGAGGGAGGAAGGAAGGAGGGAAGGAGGGAGGGAGGAGGGAGGGAGGAGGAAGGAAGGAGGAGGAAGGAAGGAAGGAAGGAAGGAAGGAGGAAGGAAGGAAGGAGGAAGGAAGGAAGGAGGGAAGGGAGGGAGGGAGGGAGGGAGGAAGGAAGGACGGAAGGAAGGAAGGAAGGAAGGAAGGAAGGAAGGAAGAAGGAGGGAGGAGGAGGGAGGGAGGGAGGGAGGGGGGAAGGAAGGAAGGAGGAAGGAGGGAGGGAGGGAGGAAGGAAGGAAGAAGGAAGGAAGGAAGGAAGGAAGAAGGAGGGAGGAAGGAAGGAGGAAGGAGGAAGGAGGAAGGAAGGAAGGAAGGAAGGAAGGAAGGAAGGAAGGAAGGAAGGAAGGAGGAAGGAGGAAGGAGGAAGGAAGGAAGGAAGGAAGGAAGAAGGAGGGAGGAAGGAAGGAAGGAGAAGGAAGGAAGGAGGAAGGAAGGAAGGAAGGAAGGAAGGAAGGAAGAAGGAAGGAAGGAAGGAAGAAGGAGGGAGGGAGGGAGGAAGGAAGGAAGAAGGAAGGAAGAGGAAGGAAGGAAGGAAGGAAGGAAGGAGGAAGGAGGAAGGAAGGAAGGAAGGAAGGAAGGAAGGAAGGAAGGAAGGAAGGGAGGGAGGGAGGGAGGGAGGAGGGAGGAAGAGAGGACGGAAGGAAGGAAAGGAGGGAGGGAGGCGGAGGGCCAGCCCCCGCCCAGGCUCCCUCCCUCUGAGCGCGGCCCAGCUUGAUGGAGGGCGUGUGGCGUGGGAGGCAGGCUAUCACAGUCCGGCCGGGAGGUGCCGGGCAGACAGCAGCCACGGCCAGAGGAAUGACUCGGGGUGGCACAGAGGGAACACAGGACCGCAAGGAGCAAUGGUGGGGGUCCCAGAGGGUGGUACCCGGGGAGGAGGGGCCAGCCAGGGCACGGAGGGGCGGGGGUGUCCCCGGAGGGGGCCUCCCGGGAAAGCAAACGUGGGAGACGGCGAUGGGGCCGGGGCCGGCCUCGACGCGGAUGUCCACCCGCAGCCCGGCCUCUCCCGGCCCUGA
Molecule: long non-coding RNA, 1389 nt
Filed under: Felis catus (domestic cat)
Lineage: Eukaryota; Metazoa; Chordata; Mammalia; Carnivora; Felidae
Description: lncRNA (ENSFCAG00000047448.1)
Source: RNAcentral